Dermochelys coriacea (leatherback sea turtle) is the source of this 861-nucleotide long non-coding RNA. RefSeq lists it as uncharacterized. NCBI's taxonomy places the organism in Eukaryota, Metazoa, Chordata, Testudines, Dermochelyidae. The record is from RefSeq and is a predicted model, not a curated record. The transcript is spliced from 4 exons.
CCUCUGGCCAGGAUGGAUUUUAUAGUAUACUGUAUGCAGAAAGGUGGUUACCCUUCCCUUUAUAUUUAUGACACACCCUGUGCCCAUUGGCUCACCAAGGCACCAGGACUGAGCCACGGGAGCCCCACUGACACUAGUGGGAGUGGCACAGCUGCACCCUGCGGCAAGGGAUGCUGGGCAGAGUUGAGGGAACUCUAGCCUCCCCUGAUGAUGUGCGGGGGCGGGGGGCUGAUGGCCACGGGGCCCUGAGGCUGAUGGGGCUGAGGGUAUCUCUGGGAGGGGCAGGGUGGGGCCCUCAAUGCCAUGGGGUUCCUUGUUGAGGAUGGGGGACAUUGAGCCAUUUCUCUACCCUGCAUUCCCACAGCAGCCGCAUAAAUGACGCUUUCUCCUUCUCUCCCUGGUGCAGAGACCCUCAGUGCCCAACUGGAAGAGGUGGAGGAGGAGGAAGAGAAGGGAGGAGGAUGUGUCCCCUGAACAAGAUACCAUCAGGGUCAUCUAGCAGCACCUCCAGGGCAGAGCUGAGUGGGUGGAGGACAGGGCCAAACAGCUCUGCUUCCUCCAUGCUGUCCCGAGUCCGUACUUCUCGGCACAGAAGCAGGGGUGGGACACUCUGGAGCCGCACUUCUCCAAAGCAGCCCUCCUGGAGAGCAUUGCGAAGCUGAUUGAAAAUCUGCCCAUGGAGUCUGAGCCGAGCUCCAUCAUCUCCAGUUCCAUGGCUGCGGUUUGCAGCCUCAGCAAACUGAAGCCGCCACUUGCUCUGGAGCUGGAGUCACGUCUCCUGCAGGCUCUACUCUACACCAUCUUCACCAUGGGCACUGGGCAGGAUACCACCCACUUCCGGGUAGGUCAUGAUCCUACUUC